GAAUAUAAAGUUGGUAUUGAGUCAUUAGGAUUAAACCGGUGGUUAAUGUAUGUAAACCGGUAGUAUAAAUAUAGGUACAAGACUCUGUAAACAGUUAUGAGCUUAUACAUUUUACUCUUUGGAAUCGUAACAAACUCUUUGAGCUCAUCUUCUAAUAGUCCCUGAUCACAAAGCUCUAUUCUUUAAUCCCAAGAUCAAGGUGUUUGAACUCACGUCGUGUGAAGACCGCUCUUGCUGAUUAUUAAUGUUACCUUCCAGAGGAAAACACUAUAGAGAGCGUUUAUUUUGACUUUGGUAGAAUGAAUUCAUAACACCAAAACGUUUAGUAAUACGAAUGACUGUUUUUUUUUUUUUUUUUGUAAUUUAACGAAUGACUGUUUUUAUAAGUAAAAGUGUCCCAGCAAAAGCUAGAGUUUUGAUUGACCAGGAUGAGAAUCUUUUCUUGAUGUGAUGCAUUAGGUGUUCACAACUUGCGAGGGUUAGCUUACUAGAGGAAAGAGGAACACAAAGAUAACAGACGGGGAGGGAUCCACAAACCAUUCCCAUAAAUCUAGUUAAUGUUUAUACUGAGUUUAGGUGUGUUACAUCUAUUUUCUUUGUUUUUCCUUGUACCCCUUUUCUAAAUUAAACUAAUUUAGCUAUAUUAAAAUAAUUUUACAAUAUUUUUUUUAUUGCAGAUUAUACAUAAAAAACAACUCUUAUAUCGAAAAAAGCUUAGAUAUACAAAUUCCGUACUUUGAUUUUCAUUGUUUAUUCCUCAUAUCCUUUUAAAUUUAAUUAGUUAAAGUAUAUUUACAUAAAAAUACUAAAUAAAUAACUCUUCUAUAUGAAAGCAAAUAUCUGUAGAUCACAUCGAUUUCGUACUUGGUUGAGGAGCGUUACAAUGAUUUCUUUCUUAUUUUCUUUUUUAUCCCCUUCUAAAGUCAAUAAUGGUGUCAUUUUAAAAUGUUUAG
RNAcentral lists this long non-coding RNA (953 nucleotides) under Brassica rapa (field mustard). Its description in RNAcentral is "long non-coding RNA (BRAP_LNC000270)". Lineage: Eukaryota; Viridiplantae; Streptophyta; Magnoliopsida; Brassicales; Brassicaceae. The record is from RNAcentral.